Long non-coding RNA from Magnolia sinica, 546 nucleotides. RefSeq lists it as uncharacterized. The transcript has 3 exons. Lineage: Eukaryota; Viridiplantae; Streptophyta; Magnoliopsida; Magnoliales; Magnoliaceae. The record is from RefSeq and is a predicted model, not a curated record.
AUUUUUUUAUUCUGUUAAUGCAGUUAAGUACAACAUUGGUGCAGUUAUCUUGCUCUGGGCACCUGUAGUCUUGAUUGCAUUGUGGAAUAUACAUCCAUUAUUCAAAGAAAGGGCGACAUUCCAAGCACUCACACUUUCUCUCCUUGCUAGAUAAAUUGGUUAACAAGCUAAAGAAGUCAGUGGAGGAUGAAAUUCAUUUUUUCAAGGGAAGGGUUUUAGAACUUGAAAGUGAUCUUGUGUCGAAGUCCACAGAAGUUACAUCUACAGUUUCAAGGAAAAAAGAAGCUCUAUCUUCUGUAUUUGUUGAAAUUGACCAUCUGAAGGAAGAAAAUUUUGUAAAAACGUGAGCAUUAUUGAAUGCAUAUGGAGGGUGUUUACUGUGUUGGAGUGUAUUUGUUUCUUGCACAUGAGGGCACGCCUUAGUUGUAAUUCUUAUGAUAGGUUGAGCAAAGUGAAGUAUUGUUUAUUUAGAAAUGUGAAUGUAGGAUGCAUUGUAUGAUUUGAUUGCUAUUUGUAAUAAAUGCAUCAUUUUUUUUUCUGAUUGCA